Molecule: ribosomal RNA, 413 nt
Filed under: uncultured bacterium
Lineage: Bacteria
Description: bacterial SSU rRNA
Rfam family: Bacterial small subunit ribosomal RNA
Source: RNAcentral
GAUGAACGCUGGCGGCGUGCUUAACACAUGCAAGUCGAGCGAAGCACUUACCAUUGACUCUUCGGAAGAUUUGGUAAAUGACUGAGCGGCGGACGGGUGAGUAACGCGUGGGCAACCUGCCUCAUACAGGGGAAUAACAGUUAGAAAUGGCUGCUAAUGCCGCAUAAGCGCACAGUACCGCAUGGUACGGUGUGAAAAACCGAGGUGGUAUGAGAUGGACCCGCGUCUGAUUAGGUAGUUGGUGGGGUAAUGGCCUACCAAGCCGACGAUCAGUAGCCGGCCUGAGAGGGUGAACGGCCACAUUGGGACUGAGACACGGCCCAGACUCCUACGGGAGGCAGCAGUGGGGAAUAUUGCACAAUGGGGGAAACCCUGAUGCAGCGACGCCGCGUGAAGGAAGAAGUAUCUCGGUA